CGGGGUGUAGCGCAGCUUGGUAGCGCGCGUCGUUCGGGACGACGAGGCCGCAGGUUCGAAUCCUGUCACCCCGA
Molecule: transfer RNA, 74 nt
Filed under: Verrucomicrobiales bacterium
Lineage: Bacteria; Pseudomonadati; Verrucomicrobiota; Verrucomicrobiia; Verrucomicrobiales
Description: tRNA-Pro
Rfam family: tRNA
About the family: Transfer RNA (tRNA) molecules are approximately 80 nucleotides in length. Their secondary structure includes four short double-helical elements and three loops (D, anti-codon, and T loops).
Source: RNAcentral